RNAcentral lists this ribosomal RNA (498 nucleotides) under uncultured bacterium. RNAcentral describes it as "partial 16S ribosomal RNA". It matches the Rfam family "Bacterial small subunit ribosomal RNA", at positions 27 to 507 of the family's 1533-position model. The record is from RNAcentral.
GGAUGAACGCUGGCGGCGUGCCUAAUACAUGCAAGUCGAGCGAACAGAUGAGGAGCUUGCUCCUCUGACGUUAGCGGCGGACGGGUGAGUAACACGUGGAUAACCUACCUAUAAGACUGGGGUAACUUCGGGAAACCGGAGCUAAUACCGGAUAAUAUAUUGAACCGCAUGGUUCAAUAGUGAAAGACGGUUUUGCUGUCACUUAUAGAUGGAUCCGCGCCGCAUUAGCUAGUUGGUAAGGUAACGGCUUACCAAGGCAACGAUGCGUAGCCGACCUGAGAGGGUGAUCGGCCACACUGGAACUGAGACACGGUCCAGACUCCUACGGGAGGCAGCAGUAGGGAAUCUUCCGCAAUGGGCGAAAGCCUGACGGAGCAACGCCGCGUGAGUGAUGAAGGUCUUCGGAUCGUAAAACUCUGUUAUUAGGGAAGAACAAAUGUGUAAGUAACUAUGCACGUCUUGACGGUACCUAAUCAGAAAGCCACGGCUAACUACGUG